RNAcentral lists this non-coding RNA (782 nucleotides) under Sanfilippodytes adelardi. Lineage: Eukaryota; Metazoa; Arthropoda; Insecta; Coleoptera; Dytiscidae. The record is from RNAcentral.
AUAAAGUUUAAUUUUAGCUUGAAGAUUUAUUUUAUUUUUUAUUUACAUGUAAAUUUUUGUGUGAAAAAAAUAUUAAUUUAGAAAAUUAUUUUUUAAAAAAUUAUUCGCAGUAUGAAAUUUUAUAGAUUUAAGAAAUUAAGAAUUAUAAAUAAAUUAUAAUAUUGACAAAAUUUGUGCCAGCAGUUGCGGUUAUACAAAAAAUAUAAAUAAAUUAUAUUGAAUAAUAAUAAAAUUGAUUAAUUUUAAUUAAAGUAAAAUUUAUAGGGUGAAAUCUAAAAUUUUAAAUAGUUAUUAAAAAAGAUAUUGAAAUUAUGAAAUUUAUGUAAUAAACUAGGAUUAGAUACCCUAUUAUUAUAAGUGUAAAUAUAUUCAAAGUAGUAUUAGUUAUGAUCUUGAAAUUUAAAAAUUUUGGCGGUAUUUUAGUCUAUUCAGAGGAACCUGUUCUGUAAUUGAUAGUCCACGAAAAACUAAACUUUAUUUAUAUAAGCUUAUAUAUCGUCGUUAUUAAAUAUUUUAUAAGAAUUAUAAUAUUUAAGAUUUUAAAUUAAAAAGUAUAUCAGAUCAAGGUGUAGUUUAUAGUAAAGUAGAAAUGGGUUACAAUAAAUUUAUUUUUAUGAAUUUGUGUAUGAAAAUAUAUGAUGAAGGUGGAUUUGAUAGUAAUAAAUUUUAUAUUUGAAUUUAUGAUUAAAGCUCUAAAAUGUGUACAUAUCGCCCGUCACUCUUAUUAUAAAAUAAGAUAAGUCGUAACAAAGUAGAUGUACUGGAAAGUGUAUCUAGAAAGA